GAUGAACGCUAGCGAUAGGCUUAACACAUGCAAGUCGAGGGGCAGCACUGGCGAUCGGCGACGAUUUCCUGGUGGCGACCGGCGCACGGGUGAGUAACACGUAUGCAACCUACCCCUUACCGGGGGAUAACCCGGGGAAAUCCGGGCUAAUACCCCAUGACACGUCUUGAUCGCAUGAUCUGGUCGUUAAAGGUUCACCGGUUCGGGAUGGGCAUGCGUUCCAUUAGCUCGUUGGUGGGGUAACGGCCCACCAAGGCCACGAUGGAUAGGGGAACUGAGAGGUUCAUCCCCCACACUGGAACUGAGACACGGUCCAGACUCCUACGGGAGGCAGCAGUGAGGAAUCUUGGUCAAUGGAGGGAACUCUGAACCAGCCACGUCGCGUGAAGGAGGAAGGCCUUACGGGUCGUAAACUUCUUUUUCGGGGGAAUAAACGGGGUCACGCGUGGCCCCCUGCAUGUACCCCGCGAACAAGGAUCGGCUAACUCCGUGCCAGCAGCCGCGGUAAUACGGAGGAUCCGAGCGUUAUCCGGAUUUAUUGGGUUUAAAGGGUGCGCAGGCGGGUUGCUAAGUCGGUGGUGAAAUCCCGGGGCUCAACCCCUGGCUUGCCAUCGAAACUGGUUACCUUGAGUAUGGGUGAGGCAGGCGGAAUUCGUGGUGUAGCGGUGAAAUGCAUAGAUAUCACGAGGAACCCCGAUCGCGUAGGCAGCUUGCCAUUCCAUCACUGACGCUCAUGCACGAAGGCGUGGGGAUCAAACAGGAUUAGAUACCCUGGUAGUCCACGCGGUAAACGAUGAUUACUGGCUGUUCGCGAUACACUGUGAGCGGCCCAGCGAAAGCGUUAAGUAAUCCACCUGGGGAGUACGUUCGCAAGAAUGAAACUCAAAGGAAUUGACGGGGCCCGCACAAGCGGAGGAACAUGUGGUUUAAUUCGAUGAUACGCGAGGAACCUUACCCGGGCUUGAAAUGCGGACGACCGGCGGUGAGACCCGCCUUCCUUUCGGGGCGUCCGCGUAGGUGCUGCAUGGUUGUCGUCAGCUCGUGCCGUGAGGUGUCGGCUUAAGUGCCAUAACGAGCGCAACCCUCAUCGUUAGUUGCCAUCAGGUUAUGCUGGGGACUCUAGCGAGACUGCCAUCGUAAGGUGCGAGGAAGGUGGGGAUGACGUCAAAUCAGCACGGCCCUUAUGUCCGGGGCGACACACGUGUUACAAUGGGCGGUACAAAGGGUCGCCACCCGGUGACGGGGCGCCAAUCCCGAAAACCGCUCUCAGUUCGGAUCGGAGUCUGCAACUCGACUUCGUGAAGCUGGAUUCGCUAGUAAUCGCGCAUCAGCCACGGCGCGGUGAAUACGUUCCCGGGCCUUGUACACACCGCCCGUCAAGCCAUGGAAGCCGGGGGUGCCUGAAGUCCGUGACCGUUCAAGGAGCGGCCUAGGGUAAGACCGGUGACUGGGGCU
RNAcentral lists this ribosomal RNA (1455 nucleotides) under uncultured bacterium. RNAcentral describes it as "bacterial SSU rRNA". It matches the Rfam family "Bacterial small subunit ribosomal RNA". The record is from RNAcentral.